This 76-nucleotide ribozyme is filed under the name Crocodylus porosus (Australian saltwater crocodile). Its description in RNAcentral is "Mammalian CPEB3 ribozyme (ENSCPRG00005002776.1)". The stretch from base 12 to 76 matches the Rfam family "Mammalian CPEB3 ribozyme", at positions 13 to 78 of the family's 78-position model. Rfam says of the family: The mammalian CPEB3 ribozyme is a self cleaving RNA located in the second intron of the CPEB3 gene which belongs to a family of genes regulating messenger RNA polyadenylation. This ribozyme is highly conserved and found only in mammals. Lineage: Eukaryota; Metazoa; Chordata; Crocodylia; Crocodylidae. The record is from Rfam by way of RNAcentral.
AACCUCUGCCCUAGGCCAUAGCAGAAGUGCUCAUGAUGCAGCCCUGUUAGAUUCCAGCAAAUCUGUGAGUUCUGCU